Molecule: ribosomal RNA, 490 nt
Filed under: uncultured bacterium
Lineage: Bacteria
Description: partial 16S ribosomal RNA
Rfam family: Bacterial small subunit ribosomal RNA
Source: RNAcentral
AUUGAACGCUGGCGGCAGGCCUAACACAUGCAAGUCGAACGGUAACAGGAAACAGCUUGCUGUUUCGCUGACGAGUGGCGGACGGGUGAGUAAUGUCUGGGAAACUGCCUGAUGGAGGGGGAUAACUACUGGAAACGGUAGCUAAUACCGCAUAACGUCGCAAGACCAAAGAGGGGGACCCUCGGGCCUCUUGCCAUCGGAUGUGCCCAGAUGGGAUUAGCCUGUUGGUGGGGUAACGGCUCACCAAGGCGACGAUCCCUAGCUGGUCUGAGAGGAUGACCAGCCACACUGGAACUGAGACACGGUCCAGACUCCUACGGGAGGCAGCAGUGGGGAAUAUUGCACAAUGGGCGCAAGCCUGAUGCAGCCAUGCCGCGUGUAUGAAGAAGGCCUUCGGGUUGUAAAGUACUUUCAGCGGGGAGGAAGGGAGUAAAGUUAAUACCUUUGCUCAUUGACGUUACCCGCAGAAGAAGCACCGGCUAACUCCGUG